AGAUGAUCAGAUAGUAGUGAAUUAUCAGAAUUUAUUAACAUUAAUGUCAAUAUACUUGCUAUACAACCUCCUCACUGCCAAAUUUGACUGGCUUAAU
Unclassified non-coding RNA from Rhinopithecus roxellana (golden snub-nosed monkey), 97 nucleotides. It matches the Rfam family "Y RNA". From Rfam's summary of the family: Y RNAs are components of the Ro ribonucleoprotein particle (Ro RNP), in association with Ro60 and La proteins. NCBI's taxonomy places the organism in Eukaryota, Metazoa, Chordata, Mammalia, Primates, Cercopithecidae. The record is from Ensembl.